GGCUGGCUAGUUGCUUCUCUCGGUCACACACACAUCUUGGAAAGGCGGAGGAGCAGAGACUGGAAAUUGUGCUUUCAGACGGCGUGUCAGCAGGAUCAGCUAACAGCAGGAAGAAGACCAGUGGAGUGGGGGCAGGAGGCAGGAGGGCACACGAGGAGGAGGCAGGACUUCAGGGGCAUCUUCAAGGAGGGUGGCUCAGUCUGUUCCUGGCCUUUGAGGUCCCUGCAUGUACCGUGCCCCAAGCCCAGCUGGCUUCCUGCGCACUCUCCAGAGAGGCCCAGAGCCUCGGGCAAGUGUAAAUGAGCAGUUAGGUGGUGUCUGAGGCUUCAAGGGGUGGCAGCAAUCACAGAGAACUCAGCCAAGUUCUGACAAGGAAGCAGAUCUACAGAGACCUCCAGGCUGCUGCUAUGUUUCCCGAGACAAAUCUCAGUUCUAUGGAACAGGAAGUUCCUUUACCGCCAGUGACCUAUGGAGACCACCAGCAGCCAGUCUGACAGGC
Long non-coding RNA from Mus pahari (shrew mouse), 499 nucleotides. RefSeq lists it as uncharacterized. The record is from RefSeq and is a predicted model, not a curated record. The transcript is spliced from 5 exons. Lineage: Eukaryota; Metazoa; Chordata; Mammalia; Rodentia; Muridae.